This 337-nucleotide unclassified non-coding RNA is filed under the name soil metagenome. Its description in RNAcentral is "partial contains 5.8S ribosomal RNA, internal transcribed spacer 2, and large subunit ribosomal RNA". The stretch from base 1 to 120 matches the Rfam family "5.8S ribosomal RNA", at positions 35 to 154 of the family's 154-position model. The record is from RNAcentral.
GAUGAAGAACGUAGCGAAAUGCGAUAAGUAGUGUGAAUUGCAGAAUUCAGUGAAUCAUCGAAUCUUUGAACGCACAUUGCGCCCUUUGGUAUUCCAAAGGGCAUGCCUGUUCGAGCGUCAUUUGUACCCUCAAGCUUUGCUUGGUGUUGGGCGUCUUGUCUCUAGCUUUGCUGGAGACUCGCCUUAAAGUAAUUGGCAGCCGGCCUACUGGUUUCGGAGCGCAGCACAAGUCGCACUCUCUAUCAGCAAAGGUCUAGCAUCCAUUAAGCCUUUUUUUCAACUUUUGACCUCGGAUCAGGUAGGGAUACCCGCUGAACUUAAGCAUAUCAAUAAGGGA